UACAACGCACUACCUGUUCAUAGUAGUCGUUGCUGUCAACAGCACACUGCUCACCACCAACGCAGGGGACUACAUCUUCUACACAGACUGGGCGUGAACGUACUUCGUUGUGUGUGCGUUGGCUGCGUCGACCUGGCCAAAUGUAGACCGCAUAGCCCUCAUUCUGUUGACGAGUGUGCACGGCAGCGCCACCUAUUCACCCACUUUCUAGCAAUAUCCAACUUGGUUAGCACUUGCAUUACGUCCUGCAACUUCAUACCCUCUCCCUACCUGUGGGCUACAAGGCGCAACAAGCACGUGACCAUACUGAUGUGCGGUGAGCUGGUUGGCCUAUCCUUCCCGCGUUUCAACAUAGUCAACCUGUUGCUUGUAAGGGCCCCGCUCGAGGUUGCCUUCAAGUAUCCUAGACCGACUCUGCCCGCGUACAUGACGCCUAUAGAGCCUCAGGUAGGGAAGUUCUACAACUCGCCUGUCGCCCUGGGUUCAGGUGCCGGUGCAGUGCUAACGGUACCCAUCGCUGCGUUGGGUGCAAAACUAAACACGUGG
This 546-nucleotide ribosomal RNA is filed under the name uncultured Nitrososphaerota archaeon. Its description in RNAcentral is "uncultured thaumarchaeote partial 16S ribosomal RNA". Lineage: Archaea; Thermoproteati; Nitrososphaerota. The record is from RNAcentral.